GUCAGGAUGGCUGAGUGGUCUAAGGUGCCAGAUUCAAGAUAUAGCUGCCUUCCUGAUCAGGUGAGUGUUCUGGUCUCUGUAUAGAGGCGUGGGUUCAAAUCCCACUUCUGACA
RNAcentral lists this transfer RNA (113 nucleotides) under Alligator mississippiensis (American alligator). It matches the Rfam family "tRNA". From Rfam's summary of the family: Transfer RNA (tRNA) molecules are approximately 80 nucleotides in length. Their secondary structure includes four short double-helical elements and three loops (D, anti-codon, and T loops). Further hydrogen bonds mediate the characteristic L-shaped molecular structure. tRNAs have two regions of fundamental functional importance: the anti-codon, which is responsible for specific mRNA codon recognition, and the 3' end, to which the tRNAs corresponding amino acid is attached (by aminoacyl-tRNA synthetases). tRNAs cope with the degeneracy of the genetic code in two manners: having more than one tRNA (with a specific anti-codon) for a particular amino acid; and 'wobble' base-pairing, i.e. permitting non-standard base-pairing at the 3rd anti-codon position. Lineage: Eukaryota; Metazoa; Chordata; Crocodylia; Alligatoridae. The record is from Rfam by way of RNAcentral.